AUGGCCACGCGCACCACCGCCCACGGCGCCACCGGGGACGACGAGGUGGCGGAGGCGGCGGGGACCGCGCUCCGCCACCGCCACGGCCACGCGGGCAAGGGCGCGGGGGAGGCCGCCAAUGGCGGCGCCAGCCCCGAGGACGCCUCGGUGGAGCAGGUGUUUGCGGACAAGGCGGUGCCGUCGUGGAGGGAGCAGCUCACGGUCCGGGCCUUGGUCGUCAGCGCGCUGCUCGCCGUCAUGUUCAGCGUCAUCGUCAUGAAGCUCAACCUCACCACGGGGAUCAUCCCCUCGCUCAACGUCUCCGCGGGGCUGCUCGGCUUCUUCUUCGUCCGCCUCUGGACCAACGCCUUCGAGCGGAUGGGCCUCGUCGGCCACCCCUUCACCCGCCAGGAGAACACCGUCAUCCAGACAUGCGUCGUCUCCGCCUACGGCAUCGCCUUCAGCGGUGGGUUUGGCAGUUAUCUAUUCGGAAUGAGUGACACAAUAGCUAAGCAAGCAACGGAGGCUAAUGAUCCUUGGAACAUCAAGGAACCUCACCUUGGAUGGAUGAUAGGCUUUCUUUUCCUCGUCAGCUUUAUUGGGAUUUUUGCACUUGUGCCCAUGAGAAAAAUCAUGAUUGUCGACUACAAGUUGACCUAUCCAAGUGGCACAGCAACUGCUUAUCUCAUCAAUGGUUUUCACACACCUGAGGGCGCCAAGCUUGCAAAGAAGCAAGUGAAGAUACUGGGCAGGUACUUUAUGGUGAGCUUUUUCUGGGGCUUUUUCCAAUGGUUCUUCAGUGGUGGCGAUGACUGCGGUUUCAAGAACUUCCCAACAUUAGGCCUUGAAGCUUACAAGAAUAGGUUUUACUUUGAUUUCUCUCCUACAUAUAUUGGGGUUGGCAUGAUCUGCCCACACAUCGUGAAUGUGUCUGUUAUGCUAGGAGGUAUCAUCUCGUGGGGUAUAAUGUGGCCCCUCAUUGGCAAGAAAAAGGGGAGUUGGUACCCUGCUUCUCUCCCAGAAUCUAGUCUUCAUGGGCUGCAGGCUUACAGGGUCUUUAUAUCCAUUGCUUUGAUUCUUGGGGAUGGAUUGUAUAACUUUGUCAAGGUGCUUAUCCGCACAAUUGCUGGCUUCAUAUCAAUGGUUCAUAAAAAUUCAAAAGCCAUGCUUCCUGUUUCAGACAAUGGCAGCCCCACCGCUGAAGCUAUGUCCUUUGAUGAUGAGCGUCGCACUGAACUAUUCCUGAAAGAUCAAAUCCCCAUGGCAGUUGCAUAUGGAGGCUAUGCCGUAGUUGCUUCUAUAUCUAUCGGCACUCUUCCUCAGAUCUUCCCGCAGCUCAAGUGGUACUACAUUUUAGUUGCCUAUGUGGUAGCACCUGUGCUGGCCUUCUGCAAUGCCUACGGAAGUGGGCUCACUGAUUGGUCCCUUGCCUCCACCUAUGGCAAGCUUGCUAUCUUCGUCUUCGGUGCAUGGGCUGGCCUUGCCAAUGGCGGUGUGCUUGUAGGACUUGCCGCGUGUGGUGUGAUGAUGAGCAUCGUGUCAACUGCCUCUGACCUGAUGCAAGACUUCAAGACUGGUUACUUGACUUUGGCGUCACCAAAGUCCAUGUUUAUCAGCCAGGUGAUAGGCACAUCAAUGGGCUGUGUCAUUUCGCCCUGUGUCUUCUGGCUGUUCUACAAGGCCUUCAGCGACAUCGGCAUAAGCGGCAGCGAAUACCCAGCGCCUUAUGCCAUUGUGUACCGAAACAUGGCGAUAUUGGGUGUGGAUGGCUUCAACACGCUUCCGGAGAACUGCCUGACUCUCUGCUACAUCUUCUUUGCUGCAGCUAUUGUCAUCAACCUGAUAAGAGACUUGACGCCGCACAAGUUUUCGAGGUUCAUCCCGCUCCCUAUGGCAAUGGCCAUACCUUUCUACAUAGGAUCAUACUUUGCGAUCGACAUGUUCCUGGGCAGCUUCAUACUCUUUGUUUGGGAGAAGAUGAACAAGGCAAAAGCAGAUGCCUACGGACCUGCUGUCGCUUCAGGGCUGAUUUGCGGGGAUGGGAUCUGGACCCUGCCUCAGUCCAUUCUUGCCCUUGCCAAGGUGAAUCCUCCCAUUUGCAUGAAGUUCUUGACAAGAGGAGACAACGUCAAAGUGGACAAAUUCCUUGGUGGCUAG
RNAcentral lists this ribosomal RNA (2136 nucleotides) under Triticum aestivum (bread wheat). Its description in RNAcentral is "partial small subunit ribosomal RNA". Lineage: Eukaryota; Viridiplantae; Streptophyta; Magnoliopsida; Poales; Poaceae. The record is from RNAcentral.